CUUUUCUUAUUUCCAGUACGACCGCCGGCCAAGGGCCAGCAGGUGGCGCCGCGGGCCCAGGCUGAGGCUGAGGUCUCUGUCCGCGGGUACCUGACGGGGCCUGGCCCGCUCUGCGCAGCGCAGCGCGUGGCCGCUCCGUCGGCCCCGGUGCCGGUGACGCUUCCAGGUGUCUUAGGGCCCAGCUCGCCGAGCCGGGCUCGGGGCAGCCCCGAGCGGAAUGAGGGAGCGGGCCGGCCGGAGCAGGCGGAGUUGUUAAAGAAAGUGAACAGGAAAAAGAACACAGUGACACCAACAGGAGUCCUGGAGGAGACGAUGCCAAAGCUGCCGAGUGGCCAGCACGUUCCAUUAAGUGUGAGGAAGCAGAGGACAGCUCGCUGCUCCCAGCUGCAACCAGAAACAACGGAGAGCAGUGGCACCUGGGAGCCUGGUGUGGAAGAGGCUGGGCGUGGGCCACCAGGACCAUCUUAUAGAUGGGAGACUGGAGGGCACCUCCACAGCUGCAGGUGUCGGUGCUAAAAACGGAUUAUAGAGACUGGUCCGUUUUGCCCUUGUUAGCAUGCUUGUAGCAAUGGGUCUGAAGUCCCAUGUUAGGUGGCAUGGAGCUCCUCCCAGCAAGAUGUGGAGGAAGGCAGGCCAGCUACAUAAAGGUGAAGAGACGCUGAAAGGGGGAUACUGAACACUCUGGCCUGUAACCAUGGCAAGCAGAUUGCUGCUUUUAAGAGCAGCUGAAGAAAUGAAAUUGCAUUUGAGUGGUGAGAGAAUAAAGGAAGGAUGAGUUGGUGUUAAUAGAGAAGA
RNAcentral lists this long non-coding RNA (795 nucleotides) under Numida meleagris (helmeted guineafowl). RNAcentral's name for it is "lncRNA (ENSNMEG00000016393.1)". Lineage: Eukaryota; Metazoa; Chordata; Aves; Galliformes; Numididae. The record is from RNAcentral.